CAUCCGCGUGAGUGAAGAAGGCCUUCGGGUUGUAAAGCUCUUUCGCAAGGGAAGAAAACUUAUGAUCGAAUAAAUCAUGAGGUUGACGGUACCUUGAUAAGAAGCACCGGCUAACUACGUGCCAGCAGCCGCGGUAAUACGUAGGGUGCGAGCGUUAAUCGGAAUUACUGGGCGUAAAGCGUGCGCAGGCGGUUUUGUAAGUCGGAUGUGAAAUCCCCGGGCUCAACCUGGGAACUGCGUUCGAAACUGCAAGGCUAGAGUGUGUCAGAGGGGGGUAGAAUUCCACGUGUAGCAGUGAAAUGCGUAGAGAUGUGGAGGAAUACCAAUGGCGAAGGCAGCCCCCUGGGAUAACACUGACGCUCAUGCACGAAAGCGUGGGGAGCAAACAGGAUUAGAUACCCUGGUAGUCCACGCCCUAAACGAUGUCAACUAGUUGUUGGUAGAGUAAAAUCUAUGAGUAACGUAGCUAACGCGUGAAGUUGACCGCCUGGGGAGUACGGUCGCACGAUUCAAACUCACAGGAAUUGACGGGGGCCCGCACAAGCGGUGGAUUCUGUGGAUUAAUUCGAUGCAACGCGAAAAACUUACCUGGCCUUGACCUGUACCGAAUUGAGCCGAGAUGUUCACGUGCUCGCAAGAGAACGGUAC
RNAcentral lists this ribosomal RNA (648 nucleotides) under uncultured bacterium. Its description in RNAcentral is "bacterial SSU rRNA". It matches the Rfam family "Bacterial small subunit ribosomal RNA", at positions 394 to 1032 of the family's 1533-position model. The record is from RNAcentral.